This 465-nucleotide ribosomal RNA is filed under the name Vreelandella stevensii. RNAcentral describes it as "partial 16S ribosomal RNA". It matches the Rfam family "Bacterial small subunit ribosomal RNA", at positions 338 to 795 of the family's 1533-position model. Lineage: Bacteria; Pseudomonadati; Pseudomonadota; Gammaproteobacteria; Oceanospirillales; Halomonadaceae. The record is from RNAcentral.
CCUACGGGUGGCUGCAGUGGGGAAUAUUGGACAAUGGGCGAAAGCCUGAUCCAGCCAUGCCGCGUGUGUGAAGAAGGCCUUCGGGUUGUAAAGCACUUUCAGUGGGGAAGAAAGCCUUGGGGCUAAUACCCUCGAGGAAGGACAUCACCCACAGAAGAAGCACCGGCUAACUCCGUGCCAGCAGCCGCGGUAAUACGGAGGGUGCGAGCGUUAAUCGGAAUUACUGGGCGUAAAGCGCGCGUAGGCGGUCUGAUAAGCCGGUUGUGAAAGCCCCGGGCUCAACCUGGGAACAGCAUCCGGAACUGUCAGGCUAGAGUGCAGGAGAGGAAGGUAGAAUUCCCGGUGUAGCGGUGAAAUGCGUAGAGAUCGGGAGGAAUACCAGUGGCGAAGGCGGCCUUCUGGACUGACACUGACGCUGAGGUGCGAAAGCGUGGGUAGCAAACAGGAUUAGAUACCCUGGUAGUC